UACGGAGGGUGCAAGCGUUAUCCGGAUUUACUGGGUUUAAAGGGUGCGUAGGCGGAUAAGUAAGUCCGUGAUGAAAUCCUGCAGCUUAACUGCAGAACUGCCGUGGAUACUAUUUGUCUUGAAUAUCGUGGAGGUUAGCGGAAUAUGUCAUGUAGCGGUGAAAUGCUUAGAUAUGACAUAGAACACCCAUUGCGAAGGCAGCUAACUACGCGAUUAUUGACGCUGAGGCACGAAAGCGUGGGGAGCAAACAGG
RNAcentral lists this ribosomal RNA (253 nucleotides) under uncultured bacterium. RNAcentral describes it as "partial 16S ribosomal RNA". It matches the Rfam family "Bacterial small subunit ribosomal RNA", at positions 524 to 776 of the family's 1533-position model. The record is from RNAcentral.